AUGAACGUUGGCGGCGUGGAUUAGGCAUGCAAGUCGAGCGGUAGGGAAUCACUCACCCAACCCCCGGUGAAACCGGGGGCUGAUAGCGUUGUUAGAUGCGCGUCGGCCCCCGGCUCUGCCGGGGGUCAGGUGAGUGAUUCCUGAGAGCGGCGAAAGGGAGAGUAACGCGUAGUUACGUACCCCGAGGACCGGAAUAGCCACGGGAAACUGUGGGUAAUGCCGGAUAAUAUCUUCGGAUCAAAGGUGUGAUUCCGCCCUGGGAGCGGACUGCGUUGUACUAGCUAGUUGGUAGGGUAAUGGCCUACCAAGGCAAUGAUGCAUAGCGGGUGUGAGAGCAUGACCCGUCUCACUGGGACUGAGACACUGCCCAGACACCUACGGGUGGCUGCAGUCGAGAAUCUUCGGCAAUGGGCGAAAGCCUGACCGAGCGACGCCGCGUGUGGGAUGAAGGCCUUCGGG
RNAcentral lists this ribosomal RNA (459 nucleotides) under uncultured bacterium. Its description in RNAcentral is "bacterial SSU rRNA". It matches the Rfam family "Bacterial small subunit ribosomal RNA", at positions 29 to 422 of the family's 1533-position model. The record is from RNAcentral.